Eriocheir sinensis (Chinese mitten crab) is the source of this 665-nucleotide long non-coding RNA. RefSeq lists it as uncharacterized. NCBI's taxonomy places the organism in Eukaryota, Metazoa, Arthropoda, Malacostraca, Decapoda, Varunidae. The record is from RefSeq and is a predicted model, not a curated record. The transcript is spliced from 4 exons.
GGCGGAAAGGCUUGCGUCGGGUUCGUUGGGUGCUGAUGGUUGUGAUAGUGAUGAAAGCGUUGGCGACAGGAGAGAGAUAGAGUUGUUGUAGGCAGCGGUGGUGGUGGUUGAGGGAGUUGUAAUGGUGGUUGUUGUAUUAGUAGUAGUUGUAGUAGUAAUGAUGAUGAUAAUAAUGAUGAUUUUCUUUUUUUCAGGUAUGAUGAUGAUGGUGAUUGGAAUGUCUUCUCUUUUUUGUGUGGACCUUCUACAUAGCACACAAAAGGACAAGGAGCACAGUGGAGAGGGGGAUUGGCCAGUGGAAGCGGAGAUUUCAUGUGCUCCAUGGUGAAAUCAGAGUCAGCCCUCCUGCAUAUGUGUGUAGAAUAAUACAGGUGUGUGCUAUUUUUGCACAACAUCUGCAAAGACAGACGCCUCCCUGUACCCGAGGAAGGAGAGGACGAGGGUGAUGGUGCAGUUCUUCAAGAGGACCCACCUGUCUCACUACCACCUGUACCUGGACGAGUUCGGGAAGGUCUGCUCUACAGGGAUGAGUUUGUCAACCUUCACUUCAUUGACAGACCUCAACCUCAGCCUCGUGCAGCUGUGUGAUGCUUCCCGACCCAUCAACAGGUUAAUUCCACACCUACUUCCAAGUAUGUGUGUUUGUAAUACAAUUGUGUGUGGAU